AGCGAACGCUGGCGGCAGGCUUAACACAUGCAAGUCGAGCGGGCAUCCUUGUGGUGUCAGCGGCAGACGGGUGAGUAACGCGUGGGAACGUGCCCUUCGGUUCGGAAUAACUCAGGGAAACUUGAGCUAAUACCGGAUACGUGCGAGAGCAGAAAGGUUUAUCUGCCGAAGGAUCGGCCCGCGUCUGAUUAGCUAGUUGGUGAGGUUACGGCUCACCAAGGCGACGAUCAGUAGCUGGUCUGAGAGGAUGAUCAGCCACACUGGGACUGAGACACGGCCCAGACUCCUACGGGAGGCAGCAGUGGGGAAUAUUGGACAAUGGGGGCAACCCUGAUCCAGCCAUGCCGCGUGAGUGAUGACGGCAUUAGGGUUGUAAAGCUCUUUUCUCCGGGACGAUAAUGACGGUACCGGAGGAAUAAGCCCCGGCUAACUUCGUG
Molecule: ribosomal RNA, 437 nt
Filed under: uncultured bacterium
Lineage: Bacteria
Description: partial 16S ribosomal RNA
Rfam family: Bacterial small subunit ribosomal RNA
Source: RNAcentral